Molecule: long non-coding RNA, 36861 nt
Filed under: Sorghum bicolor (sorghum)
Lineage: Eukaryota; Viridiplantae; Streptophyta; Magnoliopsida; Poales; Poaceae
Description: long non-coding RNA (SBIC_LNC014104)
Rfam family: Plant small nucleolar RNA R71 (bases 3744-3850)
Source: RNAcentral
ACCCUACUCUAAUAAGGCUUUAAUAUCUGGAGCUCAUAGGUGGGAGAUAAAAUAUACAUACUUACAAGACAUUUAUUGCAUAGUCAAACCAUGGAUCCAAAGUAACAAGCCAAUAAGAUUAAUCAAGAUGUGCAUGGGUGGCGAAUGAAUGGUGUAUGGUGGUGAUGGUGAUAACAAUGGUGAAAACAAUGGUGGUGGAAGUCUAAUUCUACUUUGCUCUUUGAGGGAAUACAUACCUUCCUUGCUAUUGAAACUUUAUGAGGUGAAUGAGAUGCUCUUCUUUUUUUUCAGGUGGGUAUCUUGCACCCCUAAUUCUACUGUCGGACACUUGUCCAUUUUUACCUUUCGUCUCACUUUUUCUUUUCUUUCGAGGUUCCGAGCACUUGCUCCUUUUUAUUUCCUCGUAUAUUUUUUUUUAUUUUUUUUAGAGCACUCAUCUCUUGAGAUAAUAUAGCAAGUGGUAGUAACAAGAUAACUUGAGCAUUUAUUUCACAAGGGGAAAAUAGAAAUAUUUUUGGUUAUUCUCUCCCGGAUUAGGAGUAGAAUAUUUUUGGGUGAUUCUGGAGAUGGAAUGGGUGGAUAUAUGUGGAUGGUACUUCCGGAGUAGAAGUAGCAUAUAUGAGUGAACGUGUAAGUGAAUCUUGAUUUAACCACAUGACAAGCUCCUAAGGUUCUACACAGCUUGACCACACUCAAUGCUCAUAAGCAGUAAAUAUUAAAUGUGUGGCUCAAAGUCUAGCAAGCAUGUAUAAAUGGCUGUGGUAGGAAUUUAAACUCUCAUCAUACAGGAACUCAUCAUGCAACAUUUUAAAGAUUUUCAAAGAUAAAAUUCUCCAGAAUUCUAGCAUCUCUAGGAACAGAUAAACAGCAGCUCAACCUUCCCAUAUCAUAUCCGUUAACAACUUAUACUUCAGAUCAAGUUUUCAUCCCACAAGUUUAGGUCUAGAGCAAGCUUUAAAUUAUAACAGUUAUAUCUAAACUUGAGAGAGAACUUAAAAUUUGCAAAUUAGGCAGAGCAACUAUUCAUCAUAUCCAUGCUUAAGUUUUAUUUAGAUACAGAUUAGCAUAGACACUUUAUUUAUUUAUUAAACACACUAAGUAAAAGACAUAUAUAAGCAUAAAAUUUUUAUUUGGUUUUCCCAUAGUUUAUGUGUAUUUUAAUAUUCUAAAAUAAUAUAAGUAUAAAGAUAGAUAGAUAGAAAUACUUAUCGUGAUAAAUGGGGGUGCUCUCCCCCAAGCUGAAUUUUGACGUAAUUUCUCUUGAUGUAGCUAGCAGGUGGCAGAGGUGUAGUUGAAAGUCAGCAGCAUUCUGACAGCGAUUAGAAUGUCCUCCGUCUGCCAGUCUUCUUGAUUUCUGUGGAGCUCAAAUAGACAACAAAGCUUGUGGAACUGAUUAAGUGUUAGCAUAAAUAUCUAGCCUUUAUUAUCUUGAGACUCCUUAAUAAAUGUUACUCCCUGUUUUUAUAUUUUUGUUUUAUAAAGCAGAAAAAUAUUUAUUUUAUUUUUAUGCCACCACAGUGAAUGUACUUAUGGGUUUUAUGCCACUCGUCUACUCACAUAGGGCUUACUGUUUUUUCAUAUUUUUAUUUUCUUUUUAAGAUAGUGUGAAUAUGAUUAACUAAGUAAACUAUUUGAAAUAACUGAAAGGGAAAGGAUAACUACCAAGUUUACCUCUUGGCAAGGCGUUCGGUGUUUUUAAGUCCUCCGAAUGGGACUCUCCAAUUUCUUAAUUGUCCUGAGGUUCGUUGGGUGGCGUAGUCGGUACUUCCGGCAGCGCCUCCUCUUCUUGUAUAGUUAUCUUCAUUUUCCAUACCUGACUCGGUGCUUCGAUCUCCUCUGGAUAAUUCUGUUUAAAUUCAACGUCUUCUGACCUUACAACUUCUCCUUCAUAGUCUGCCCAUCCGUCCUUGAUGAUCUGCCUCCUCUGGUUGCGGUUGCGUCUUUUUCUGACCUGCUUAGAUUCUUCAAUGAUAUAGUCAGGGUCAAUAAAAUAACGGCGUACCUUCUCUGAGGGGAAGUGCAUAUGGACUUCUCCGGUUCCAAUGUAGAUAAUUGCUUUAACGGUGCUGAGGAAGGGUCUUCCAAGGAUGAUGGGUGGAUCAUACUCAUCUUCUCCCAUGUCAACAACUUGAAAGUCUGUGUAGACAAAGUGAUCGUCUAUUUUGACUGGGACAUCAGAUACUAUUCCUUUAACUUCUCGAAAUGUCUGAUCUGCCAUCUGGAGCUGAAUGUAUGUUGGUCUUAGUGGCAUGGUCCCGAACAAGAGCCGAUAAGUGACUGCGGCCAUUAUGUUGACGCCCGAUCCGGUGUCGCAAAUCGUCUUGUAGAAGUUGUAUCCAUUUAUGGAGCAGUAGAUGCUUGGCAUUCCUGGGUCGUCCUUCUUGGUCAAAAAUGGUGACUUAAGUUGAUGAUCUUGGCCUCCAUGGACUACAGUGACCAUCUUAGCUGACUCGGUCCACACUUGCUUGUUCCUGUUCCUCCUGUUGGUCCUCUUCCUUGAUUCACGUCUGGAUUGAUCUUGAAUUUGUGUAGUCUUGUUCUUGAAGAAAAAUGUCUCCUUCUUCCCUUUGACGUAGAAACUGAUCUUGGCAGCACCAGCGUAGAUGAUAGCUCCCAUGGUGUUCAAGAAUGGCCUCCCUAGGAUGAUAGGUGCUCUCUCAUCAUUUCCGGUCUCUACCACUACGAAGUCUGCUGGGGCAUACAAGGUACCAACUCGGACACAAAGGUUCCUCACUAUUCCGUUUGGAAAAGUUAUCGUCUGAUCUGCAAACUGCAAACACAUGGUUGUCUCUAAUAAACGAUAUGUAAAGAAUUUCUCAUAGAGUACCCUGGGUAUAAUGUUGACACUGGAGCCAAAGUCGCAGAGUGCUUCUGGGACAUCCACCAUGCCGAUAGAGAUCGGGACGACGGGGCGUCCUGGAUCGCCUCUCUUGACCGGCAGACGGUCAGUAGAAAAUUCAGUGACGGGGUUACUCCAAUUACCUGCAUCAAACAUGUCUACAAGAUUUGCAGAUUCUAAUCCUUCCGGUUGUGAUGGUAUACCGGGGUUAGUAGCAGGAACAGCAGCAGCAAUUUGAUUUAACUGAGAUUCAAUCAUUUUAUUAAAGCUAAUUUGAUUCUUGAUGGCAGUAGAGAAAUUAUCCAUUCUAUUAUUUAUAUUUUCUAGCAUUUUAUCAUUAGAUGCCAAUUUCUUAGAUAGGUUAUCCAUUAGCUUUCCUUGAUUAGACACUAACUCUCUCAAAGGUGGAAAAUUAUUAUUAUUGUUGUAAGAAUUGUUACCUUGAUAAUUACCUGAGUAGUUAGGCCUCUGUUGAUUCCAACCUUGAUUUUGUUGAGGACGGUUGUAGUAGUUGUUGUUGUUGAUGUAGUUCACAUCCUCAAGCAUCUCAGGGCAGUGAUUGCCUGAGUGUCCAGUGUCUCCACACUCCUCACAAGUCAUGUGAGAGUCGUAGAUGUGCAUAACUUCUUUCUUGCCUCCAGCUCUAUCAUCGAGCUUCUUCAUGAGCAGGUCUAGCUUUGCAGACAGCAUGUCUACCUCCUUCAGCUGAUGCAUACCUCCACCUCUCUUGCGUGUCUGGCUCCUCUCUUCAUUCCAGCUUUGGUUGGACGCCAUCUUCUCCACAAGAGCUGUGGCUUGUGGUAUAGUAAGUGAUAAGAAUGCUCCUCCAGCUGCAGCAUCCAUGGUCUCUCGGGCACUGUUGCCGAGCCCAUGAUAAAACGUCUGCAUCAAUAGCCAACUCUCCAUUCCAUGAUGGGGACAUUCUAGGAUGUAGUCUUGAAAGCGCUCCCAUGCUUCUGGAACAGAUUCAUCAUUUUGUUGAUGAAAACUUGUAAUCUUCCCACGGAGAGCAUUGGUCUUGCCCAUGGGAAAGAACUUAGCCAGGAAGUUUGUUGAGCAGAGUGCCCACGUAGUAUUCUUCUCCUUUGUAGCGUAGAACCACUGCUUCGCUCUUCCUAACAGUGAGAAUGGGAAGAGGCGAAGUAGUAUAGCAUCUUUGGAAACUCCUGCUAUGGUGAAUGUGUUGCAAAUCUCCAGGAAGUGUUGUAAAUGAGCACUAGCAUCUUCGUGUGCCUUCCCACAGAACUGGUUGGAUUGCACCAUGUUAAUAAGUCCAGGCUUGAGCUCAAAGUUGUCGUCGAUCUCUGCAGCAGGUCCAGUGCGGAUGUUGUCCGUAGUGGGAGCUGAGAACUCGCGGAUCGAUUUGUUCGCCAUGGCUUCGAACUCUGAAGACAAGUUCCGGUGAUCUUCUUGAUUGGAUGAAGCUUCUUGCUGAAGUGUUGAUGAUUUCUUUAGCUUGGCUCUCGUCUUCUUGAAUAAUGCUUCGGGAUUGUCAACAAAAUUUCCUGGAAGAUGUCUUCUAUUCAUACAUUCCCCUACAUAAGAUAAAAUAGAAAAAUAUCGGGGUAAAACUGUAUGAGAGAAUAGAUAAGCUCAAUCAUAUUAGUGAUGCGAAUGAUAACUCAAAAUGUUUUAUUCCAUUCCUGAUUAGUAAUCAACCUUCCCCGGCAAUGGCGCCAAAAAAUGCUUGUUGGGUAUUCUUAACAUCAUUACUAAAAGUAGACUAAGUUCUCUAAAUCUAGUAACGGUGCCAAAAAUGCCAAACCUAUCCCUCACACCACUUAAGCCAAGUUGUCAUCCCCAGCAUGACAUGAGAGAUGCAGUAUUGAAAUAUGCAAUUGCUCUUCUAAAUAAAUAAUGAAUGGGAUCUGCAAGCGCAUAGAUUAAUACCGAUGCAGCAUUUUAACCGGGAAGUAUUCCAGGUAUCGUUAUUUAUAUUUUUACCACUGGGAAGGGAUUAGAAAUCAUCACUAAUGAUUACAGAAUAGAAUAUGAGAUUGAGCAUCUAUCAUUGCAUGUAUAAUUGAGAACAUUAUAUCUAACUCUUCAUACAGGGAUAAGUGUCACAUAAAAGAUAUAUGAAGUAAUGAUAGUGACAAGGAUAACUAAUCUGAUCUAGCCACAUAAUAAAUAUGAUAAGCACCUCAAUUAGAUACUCUAGAAAGUCAUUAGCAUGGUAUUAGAACAAACUACAAGAAUAUUCCCUAAGUUAUUCUUAACUAUAUAGUCUAGCAUUAUCAUAGUUAGUGCAAGCAUACUUAGCAAUCAUUGCGAGACAAGACUACGCCCAUGCAUAGUGAUAUUAGCAAGGAAUAUGAGAAACAUAGCAAUCACUCCCCUGUAAUAAUGUUGCUCUGCCAGCCCAAUACACGAGAGGGGAACUAUAUAAGAAUCAAUGAAGCUGUUACUAUCACGAACCACCCCACGAUCUGGCAUAUUGGGUACAAUCGCAGAUAAAUACGGUAUAAGCACCACGCCUACACAAUAUCUAUCAUUUACCCAUGGAUCCGAUGGAUAAACGCUAUACGAUCCUAAGCAUGUAUAUAGAUCGUAUCUAACUAAGCCAAGUACAUAACUAUGAUAAACUAAGAACAAUAUAUCUUGAAUAUAAGCAAGUAGAGCAAAGUCAUAAGCAAUAUAUUGAAGUAGAACAAAGUCAUAUUCAUAAUAUUGAAGAACAAAGAUAAUUAGAAAGCAAUUAGAAGCACAAUUAGAGAAUUACCAAGAAUCCUCCUGACAGAUCCGGAAACCAAUCGAAGAUUGACUCCUUCUAGUUCUAAUCCUAUGUAGCUAUGCUAAUCUAGAUGUCUAAUUGAUGUGGUGGCUCUAAUCUUGAUCAGAGGCUUCGUCUCCCUUGAUGGAACAAUGAAUUAGGGUUGAGAGGCUCUCUCCUUCAGGGGCCAGGGGGUCUGGUUUUAUAGUCCCUUCAAGUGAAUAUGGGCCCUUGGAUCAAACCGACAUAGAUUGUAUGGUUUAGAUUCAUCCUUUAGGUCGGUGGAGAUCUCCCGCAAAGCAGAGUCCUGAUUGGACUCAGGGGCAGGGCGGGCGCCCUGACCAACUGGGCGGCCGCCCAGGGUCUGGCCCCGUUUCGCCUCCGCUUCGGUCUCGUGGCUUCUGGAGUCUUCUAGAUGUAAGAUAAUUGCGCAGCACGUUAAUAUCUUUACGUAAUCCCGACAUGUGGGCCUUUCUUCCAUAUUUCCUGAUAACCCCCUACAGAAAUAGACAAACACCAAAACUCGUGGAAUUCUGUCAGAUAAAACCCUAAGUCUAGAUCUUGAUUUUAUUUGGAUCCUUUUCUUUAUUUAUUUGAUAAUUAAAUUUGAUACUUAAGGACCGUCAACAAGCACUUGUUUGAGCCCUUCUAGUCUUUGCCGAUUUGCCAGUUUGCUGUUACAACAACCAAGAUUUCAUGAGUAAAAGUAUGAAAGAAUGUUGAUGAAAUCUUGUUAAAAGAUAAAGGUUACCGAUGAGGUUCCCAUAGCAACCGAUGUAUCCUGAAAAGAUUAUGUGAGUAUGGGAUAGAAUCGGUAUAAACAAAGGAAAUCAAAAGUCUACCUUGAAAGCCUGCGCCAGGGUAGUAGCAGCAACUGAUGGGGACGUCUUUGACCGCUUGGUGGUUAUCUUCUUGAAGCGCACAUUCCGAUGAAUCAAAGCUGCCGGACUUGGUGCAUUGUGACCGAUCAGUUCGAUCGGUCUUCCACUUCUACAGACUGUCGGUGGUGGGUUGUCGAUUUGUUUGAAAAAGGGAGAAUAAGUUACCGAUAAGGUUAGAAGUAACAACAGAACUGAGAUGUCAGUCAAAAACUUACAGUGUUAUCGGGAACCUUAUAGUUGGAGCCGAUCAUGCCACGGUAUGUCAGAGCCGAUGCGCAGAACAGGUGUUCUUUCCAUUCUUCCCACCACUGUUUGUGCGCCUGAGUGAUCAAGAGGGCCGAGAUCCAAGCCGAUAGAUCGAUAUCUGACGUAUCGGCAUUUGGUUGAAGCUGAGCUAUCCUUAUCCACUCGAGCCCAUUAGUUAUAGUCUCCCUGGGUUUCACCACAUCGGCGUAACAGACUCUGAUCACCAGCUACCCAAAUGCCAGUUGAUGAGCUAAUGCCGAUGGAUUGUAAAACUCGUAAGUGGGGUUAGAGUUUUUCCCACUACCAAAGGUGUUUACUGGGAUAGCCCUCGAAGUGAUGAUUGCCAUCAUCAGAUCAUUAUCUUUAUUAGGAGCAUCAUCAAAGGGAUGGAAGAUGAGCGGAAAUCUGGUUUCUGGGUCUUCAUAAGGCAUCCAUACACGUUAAUCUUUGGGAAGACCCUAAUACAGAGUCUGGAAGAAUCAGCUGACCUGGUCUUCAUUACCACCAGUACCAGGUAGCUCUAUGGCGGCCUCACCGUAAUUCCAGGUGAGCGAGUUGCCGAUUCUUCGUCAGCCAGUUCAUGGUCUUCGGUGAUAUCUCUAUGGAAUUGUUGUGCAAAGAGGUCGAAGCAGAGACGUUUGUGCAUGUGGACGUUAAGCCACAUGUUGAUGAACCACCAAGGGCCUCCUAGGUUGCCGAUGGGUUGGCCUAAUAGGAGCUUCUCAGCCACUUGAUGGAGGAGGUGGUAGGCAGAACCAAGGAAGUAUCGACCGAGAGGAAAUCGGCUGCCAUCAGCCAGUCUUUCUGCUGCCAAUAAGUAGACAGAGGUUGGUCCUACCAAUCGGCCACAGAAGACGAACUUGUCUAACCACAUGUUUAGGAAAACUACAUGUUCUCUUUGACCGACUGGUCCCGUCCUCUGGUACUUCUGGAUGUACCCUGACCAACCGCCGAUGUUGAGGGUUUCUACUUUGCACUCGGGUUUGCUGUCGUAUAGAUGGCUAUCAUCAGCAGAUGAUAUGUCUAAGCCAGUGAGCAUGAGCACAUCGGCAAGAGUGGGGGAAGCAGGGCCAUGACCAAACAGAAAAGCAUUGAAAGUAUCUGACCAGAAGUAUGAAGCAACUAUCAAUAGCGAUUCAUUUCUUUCCAUAUCGGCAAUGGAUAACCUGAUACACUGGUCCAGUUUGUGCUCACCCCAUUGGACUUUGUUUGAGUUGCCAACUAUCAGGAACCAAUCUCUCCAUCCCUUAGUAGAACUGGGCCAAGAUCGGAAGGUAUCUUUCCAUAGAUCUGAGGAGAAAUUUUCAGCUCUAAAGGGGAUUCUAUUUAUCUCUGCGUUGAUCAGAUUGGUAGGAUCCGGGUUACCCAAUGGCCCGAGACAUUGAAAGUGGGGUUGAUCGGUGGGAAUCACAAUUUUAUCAGCGAAUUCCUAAAGGUUUGAAGGUUGGAAGAACAGAAAAAGGAAAAAGAAAGAAAGAACGUACUCAGUAAAUAGAUUUGCGGAAGUUAAAACUACAACAAGUAGACAGGGGAAAUUGACCUCAGGGACGGUGAAGUUCAUAGCCAUUUCUUCCAGGGAGGAAGAAGAUCAAUGAAGGACUGGCUGGGCUUGCUGACGUUCUCGGACUCCUCGAACAAUGCCGCCGUUAGGAAGAUGGGUUUUGAGGAUGCAGAAUGACAAGGUGGAGGAAGAGUGCCGAAGAAGGAAGUAUUUAUAGGAUAAAGAGAGCAGGGGUAUUUCUGACCUAUUCCUUUGCCGUAUCCAUGAAAAUCGAGGGUGUUCAGGUGGAUAUGGUAACUGUUCGCACGAUAAUCAAGGGAUUGUGUAGGUGAUUUGACAGUAAGCGGUCAUAAUUUUGGGAAGAUAUUUUACUGUGCAAGAUCUCCUGGUCGGUUCAUCGACAGUUCUCUCUAACGGAAACAUUGCCGAUGAACGAAUAUUUAGGAGAUUCGGUCUGAGGAGUUGAGAGAUUCGAGGUGCAUGCUGGAGAACCGGGCUAAGGUUGUUCGGAUUUGGUAAUUAAUUAUUGUCAGGUGGGAGUAAUCGCGGAAAGGCAUCAUUACUGAAGAGAAUUUUGGAGCAUUAAUGAUUUUAUACUCCGAAAUUGGGGGGCAUGUGUUGACACCGUUUUUAGACACGUAUCUUUGGACGCGUAUCUGAGAAUUAGUAAAAUAUAGAUCGGCAGGUGAAAGAGUGGUGAGUGUUUGUCAAGGAGGUUACCGAUGGGAAUUGAUGCCGAUAGAUAAAGAGCAGAAUGUGGCCAAGACUAGGGAUGGUGAUUGAUCUAUACCGAUGAUUGAUGCUUGCGAUUGCCGAUGUCGAUGGAAGGUGGUUUGCCGAUUGCCGAUGGCAACAGGGGGAGCGCAGGAGUUGCUGACAAGAUGGUGACGGUGUGUCGAUUGCUUGUAGUGGAUAGAUUAAUGUUUUGCAUAGCUGUUAGAGUUCGUUUUGUGUACGGAUUCCAUUCAAUUUUGAAUUAGAGUCCUAGUCGUGUUUGGUUGUAAUUCUUCUGGGCAGGGUAUAAAUGUAGACCCUGUAGCGGUGUAAUAGAUAUACACAAUCAAUCAAACACAAGUUUUUACAUCUAUCCCAGUAUCUACUUUUUUGAUGACUUCGUCAACUUGCAUAUUUUCUUUUUACUUACGAGUUCUUAGGAAUUCAUCGAGUCAAUCUCGGCGAGUUCUCAAGUUCUGCGUGAAUACCUCUUGGCCGUGACAUUCGGGCGCAUCGCUGUUGUCGGGACCAAAGUAUUCGUGUUAUCACCUUUAUCGAUUGUAAGGUCAAAUCGGCUGGCACGCCUUAACGUUGAAUCGGGUAUUAGCCCUUUGUGUUUGCAGAUCUACUUUUGCAUCAACAGGUCCCUUAUGAAAUGGUGCCUUAUGUCAAUGUGCUUGGUUCUUGAAUGUUGAAACAGAUUUUGUGUCAUCUUAAUUGCACUCUCAUUGUCACAUAGCAAAGGCACAUUCUUGAAUUUUAUUCCAAAGUCAUUCAAGGUAGCUUUCAUCCAAAGCAAUUGUGCACAACAACUACCGGCACUAAUGUAUUCGGCCUCAGCGGCUGAUAGUGCAACACUAUUUUGUUUCUUUGAUGACCAUGAAACUAGAGACAUUCCUAGCAAUUCACAAGUGCCACUUGUGCUCAUUCUAUCAAUCUUGCAUCCACCAUAAUCGGAGUCUAAAUAUCCAAUCAACUCAAAGUUAGACCCCUUGGGAUACUGUUGACACUUGCUAACACCACUUGAAGACUAGGUUGUCAUCCCCAGCAUGGCACCUUGUACUAUGGUAUUUAUACGCACACAGAUAAAUCCGCAAGUGCACGGAUACCGUUGUAGCUUUUACCCAGUUAAAGGUUUUAUCGUAUCCACAGGGAAACGGGAGAACUGAUCUACGCUCUAACUUAACCUAGAUAGAUAGGUAGGUGUAAAUAGGAAAGAUGAUAGGAUUGAAUAAGAACAAUAUUAAAGGUAAGAUAACAGUGAGUAAAUAUAGAGUAGAGCAAUCUAAUAUAUGGGCGAUGGUAGGAGAAUAGAGAGGAUAACUAUGGUUUCUCUACUUCAAAGGGGCAUGUCUUUGUCUGGGAUGUACCACGUGAUAAGAAUACACCACAAAGGAUGCUUAUCCAUAGGCCGAUAAACCCUACCCGUCCUGCUAACAGGAGGUGGACUACAGGGGACCAAUGUAACUAUCACCUACGCGGCCUACCACACGAUCCAGCUAGACAUGGGAUAUCCACAAGUAAUCUCAGGUCUAAGCACCAUGCUUACACCUAUACUACAACUCCACCUAUAGCGUCCUAUAGAUUAAAGUACUCAAAAGAGUUGUGAACCAGAACAUACAUGAAUAGUAAUUGCAUAAUGAAUUAGAAGUAGAUUACUAGAGUCAUCCCAUGAGCAAGCUUGAUUAGAGCUUGAUCAUGACGAAGUACAACUGGAGGAAGAACCGACAGGCCGGCCUCUCCUCCAAUCCUCGCUCGCUCUCCAUCUCGCUACUAUCUAGAUCUACUCUAGUUUAGAGAUGAGAGGAGAGCUCUCAUCUCCAAACCCUAGCUUUUGCUCUGUCUAUGAAUAAUGAAUAGGGAUCAAAGGGUGCCUCCUACAGGGGCCAGGGGGUCUGCUUAUAUAGUCCCCUCAAGUGAAUCUGGGCCGUCGGAUCAAACCAACAUUGAUUGAACGGUUAUCCUUGAUCCUUUCGGUCGGUGGAACGUAAUCCGCGAGAAGGGUACUAUUUGGACUCUGUUGCUGGGAGGGCGCCCAAGGGGGGAGGGCGAGCGCCCUGCCCCUGGGCUCGAUCGUCCUCCCUUUCAUUCCCGUGGCUUCUGGAGUCCUCUAGAUGAUUGAAAAUUGCACGGCACGUUUAUUUCUCUAUAUAAACCCGACAUGUGGGCCUUUCCUCCAUAUUUCCUGAUAACCCCCUGGAGAAAUAGACAAACACCAAAACUUAAGGAAUUCUGUCAGAUAAAACCCUAAGUCUAGUGCUGGUUGCAUUUGGAUCCUUUUCUUUAUUUAUUUGAUGAUUAUAUUUGGUACUUAAGGACCGUCAACAACUCCCCCAAGCUUACCUAUUGCUCGUCCCUGAGCAAGGAUGGACUCAAGAGUUUCUGCAGUGGUUUUAUGCCUUAAAAGGUACACAUGCAUUCAAACAAGAUCUCAUCUCUAGGUUAGGGUAAACUGUUAAGACUUAAAACUUACUCAUUUUACCUUUCACAAUGGGGCUAGCAACCGUCACUUAUGUCUUGAGUAGUUAAAAGAUAGAACGGUCAUGUCAAGCACCAUGUCUCUUGUUCUUUGAUCAACUAUAGCUCUAGAGUUUUUUGCAGAUUUUCAAAUAAAACUCAGAGAUUCCUAUAUGACUCUCUCAAUUCUCUCUUUUAUGGUAUUUCUGGAUCCUUACCAAGGCAGUGAUGAUAUAUGCCUUCUCUUAAAGUAUGUAGUAUUUGUGGCGUGAGGCAUAGUGAUAUUGCCUUCUCUCUCAUCCUACUCUAAUGAGGCUUUGAUAUCUGGAGCUCAUAGGUGGGAGACAGCUAAUACAUACUUACAAGACAUUUAUUGCAUAGUCAAACCAUGGAUCCAGAGAAACAAGUCAAUAAGUCAAAUCAAGAUGUGCAUGUGUGGCGAAUGAAUGGUGUAUGGUGAUGAUGGUGAUAACAAUGGUGAAAGUCUAAUUCUACUUUUGCUCUUUUGAGGGGAUACAUACCUUUCUUGCACUUUGAAGCUUUUUGAGGGGGGAAUGAGAUGCUCUAUAUUUUCUCUUUUUUUUUCUUUUCUCUCAGGUGGGUAUCUUGUACUCCUAAUUCUACUGUCGGACAAUGUCCAUUUUUACCUCUCGUCUCACUUUUUCUUUUCUUCGAGGUUUCGGGCACUUGCCCCUUUUUAUUUCCUCGUAUUCACUUUUUUUUUUCAGAGCACUCACCCUCUUGGAAUAAUGUAGCAAGUGGUAGUAACCAAAAUAUCUUGAGCAUUUAUUUCACGGGGAAUAACAGGGAUAGGAUAAUGUUUUUAGCUAUUCUCUCCUAGAUAGGAGUAAAAUAAUUUUGGGUGAAUCUGGAGAUGGAAAUGAGUGGAUGUAUGUGGAUGCGUACUUCCGGAGUAGAAGUAGCAUGUAUGAGUGAACGUGCAAGUGAAUCUUGAUUUUAACCGCAUGACAUGCUCCUAAUGGUCUACACAACUUGACCACACUCAAUUCUCAUAUGCAGUAAAAAGUAAAUGUAUGGUUCAUAGUCUAGCAAGGAUGUAUAAAUAGCUGUGGUAGGAUUUUAAACUCUCAUCAUACAGGAACUCAUCAUGCAACAUUUUAAAUAUUUUCAAAGAUAAAUUUCUCUAGAUUUCUAGCAUCUCUAGGAACAGAUAAAUAGCAGCUCAACCUUCCCAUAUCGUAUCCGUUAACGACUUAGACUUUAGAUCAAGUACUCUUCCCACAAGUUCAGGUUUAGAGCAAAUCUUAAUUCAUAACAGUCAUGCCUAAAAUUGGGAGAGAUUUCAAUUUUGAGAACUAGACAGAGCAACUAUUCAUCAUUUUCAUGUGAGAGCUUAUCAUGAGGGUUCAUAGCAAACUUUAUUUAUUUAUUUAUUUAGCAAAAUAAGCAAAGAUAUUUAUAUAAGCUCAAAAUCUUUAUUUAGAUUUUUAUGAUUAUGCAUCUUUUUAUUAUUUGAGUAAAGUAUAAAUAUGAGUAGAAACACUUAGCUGGAUAAAUGGGGGUGCUCUCCCCCAAGCUGGAUUUUGACGUAAUUUCUUCUGAUGUAGCUAGCAGGUGACGGAGAUGUAUUUGAAUGUCGGCAGCACCCUAACAGCGAUUAGGAUGUCCUCCGUCUGCUAGUCUUCUUUGAUCCUUGAAUUCUGUGGAGCUCAAAUAGACAACAAAGCUUUGUGGAACUGGUUAAGUGUUAGCAUAAAAUCUCUUUGCCUUUAUCAUGUUGAGCUUCCUCUAAUAAAUAUUACUCUCUUUAGUAGGAUCAUAAAUUUAUUUUUAUAUUUUCAUUUCUAUAGGACAGGAAUAUAUUUAUUUUAUUUUUAGGCCACCACAGUGAAUGUACUUAUGGGUUUUAUGCCACGAGCAUACUCACAUGGGGCUUACUAUUUUUAACAUUUUUAUUUUCUUUUCAAGAUAGUAUGAUUAACUAACAAGCUAUUUAAGGAAAGUCAAUAAUUUAAGGAAAAGGGAAUGCAGAAAGGAUAAAUAUGGAUAACUACCGAUUUUACCUUUCGGCGAGGGUUCAAUGUUUUAAGUCUUCUGAACAAGACUUCUCACCGUGUUCAUUCUUCAGUUGCGUCAUUUGAUUCAGGUGUGGACCUUAACAUCUGCACCUCUUGAUACGGUGUCACCCAUGUUCUUCGUUUGCCCAUUAGUUCGAAGUGCGGCGUUAUGGAUAAUAAUAUCAUGAUUGUAGCAUUUAAAACAUUUGUCAGAUCAGACCGCUCAACCUAAUGGAAAGAUAAUCUAUCUAUUUUUAUGUGUUUUUUAUAUAUCUGCCAAAGAUUGAGUGUGCAACAUUUUAGCUCAUAUGAUUAAGAGUGUGGGAUCACAAACGUAGAAGGACUAAACAUGUUGAAUCGAUUGGGUUGGUUAACCUAGGGUUGUAAAUCGUACAUGUUUGUCAGUUUUAUUCAUAGGAACGCCAGAACCAAGAAGAAGCUUAUAAAAGUGAUAAUCAAGUACCUUAAGAUGUUACCUUACUUGAAGAGUGAUGGUACAGUAUCACCUUGUGGAAGCUUUCCUUUCUUAGCGGUUGUGCAUCAUAUUUGUGGCACCCUCCGUGGAUCAUCUCUUAUGAGCUAUGUUUUCCUUGUGUAAAUUGUUAAACUUGAUGUGUCUCUCUCUUUGUCUCCGAUGUGAGUUUAUCUCAGGACUUCCCAAAUCGAUAUUGAAAGUAUUUCUAUAGGGGUUAGUUCGACAACAUAUACCAAUGUCUACACAAGCAGUUUUUAGUUCAAUAACCGAACUAGACUCCAUGUCUAAUCAGAUUAAGGAAGGCUGUUUAACCUAAGCACCAUGCUUAAUUGAAAAGCCAAUAGAAGUAUGCACAGUACUUCCAAACUAACACUUACGAGGAUAAACAAAGGUAGCAUGAUGGCAUUUAUAAAGAUCUACUCAAGUGGAGAUGAUGUAGUGUGAUUAGUAUUUAACAAAUUGAGCAUGUCUUAAAGGUAGGGACAACCAACAUAGCAACAUGGCAAAGGAUAUUUUUAUGUAAGGUACUCCCCCAAGCUUGAAUUUUGCAAAAUUCAAGUUUGGAUGAAUUUCAUUCAGUGUUGCAUGAUGAUUGGUUGGACAUACCUUGUGCUUGUCAUUCAUCCAAUCUUCUUGCUCCAAUCCUAGAAAGGUUAGUGACAAGAAUACCCGAAGGAAUAUUUUUACAAUUAUUCUUAUAUGCUCAAUACACAAGGUAAUAUUGUAAAUAAUUAAAAGGUCAUGUUACGAUCUGAUCAGUGCUUAUUUUAGGACACUAAGCUUGUCCUUGGGAAACCAUCAAUUUAUGUCGGUGAAGUGGUUUCCCUUCCAACGCUGACCUAUAUCAAGAUCAACUCAACGAGAUCUGCAAUAUUUAUUAUAGACAUAUGCAUCGACAAUUGUCCUUUUAAAGUUUUUGUAAAUAGAAAGAAAGAGUGGGUUGGAUAUCUCAAAUGUGGUGAUGUUGGCGAGACCAAUAGAUUGGAAAGAUGUUGCAUAUGGGCAUGGAGUAAACGAAGUGGCUAUGAAAUAAAUUCCAUGCUCAUUAAUGUUAUCUUCGUCUCCAAUCUGAAUGUUCGGAGUUUCUCCUGGAUUGGUCUCACCUAUGUCCUCUUCUGUAGUUGGAUGAAUCUCAUCUUCAAAGGGAGCCAAGAACUCACCAUUUGAAAUUGAGCCAAAGUCAGAAUCCAUUAAGGGUUCUUCCUUAUCCAUCCAUUCUACACAUUCUAGCCAUUUAGAACUUGUGAUCAGGAAGGGGGAGGUGUUAGAAUUUUCUAUAUGGUUUAGCUCUCCUUCACUUGAUAUGUCAUCCUCAACUUCUUCUUAACAGGAACUAGGACAUUCUCUAAGAGAACCAUUAUUGCAAGGAUUUGAAUUAUCCCUGGUUGAAGGUCUCUUAUGGAACCAGAAGUCUAAUCCAUAAGCAUCUGAAAGAUUUAAGGUCGGAAUUCCUUCCUCCCUUGGAGAAUUUUGGGGUAUUGAUGGUUUAGGAUCGCUAGCUAAAGUUUGGGAUUGCAGUGGUUGUGAUCUGGCUAUCAAAACUUCUUCUUCUUGUCUAGGAACUGGUUCUUUCUCUUUCUCAGGGUUAUAAAAGCUAGGAGACUUUCCGCUCAUUAAAUCAAUCAAAUUCCAAGCAUCACUAGCGGACAGGUGGUGCAAGGAUCCUCCAGAGGCCGCAUGAAGGGUUUGCUUAUUUUUCCUACUAAGGCCCUUAAAAAUUGAAAUAGAAGAACUUGUUCUAGAAUAGAAAGCUUUGGGCCAGUGAGAGUAAGGUCACUAAAGUGGUCCCUUGAUCCGCCAAUAGAUUCUUCUUCUAAUUGUCUAAAAGAAAGAAUCUCGAGCCGAAUAUCUGCCACUUUGGAGAUCAAAAAAUAUUUAAAGAGAAAACUAUUGUAUAGCUCCUUCCAAUCUCCAUGAGCACUUCCUAUGUUUAGUUUAUACCAAUGUCUAGCUUUUCCCGUUAAAGAGAACGGAAAGAGCUUCCAUUUAAGGGUCUCAUCAGACAUGCCUUCAAUGCGAAGGAGGUCACAGACUCGAUAAAACUCUCUUAGGUGUGUGUAUGGGUUUUCCUCACCUUCUCCUGAGAAAGGCUGUUUUUGAAGAAAUUCUAUGUAUUCCGGGCUUAUCUCGAAACUAGAUGUCAUGAUUGGCUUUGAAGAUUUUGGUGGUUCGAGAUGUGUGCCCGUAGGUCUAUUAAAUUCAUAGAUAGACAUGUUUGAAUUCAUGAUAGACCAGAGAUCAAGGAUUAGAUAAGAAGAAAGAAUAGCAGAGAUAAGGCAAAAGAUAAAAGGAAAAGUAUAUAUAUAUUUUUUUAAUUUUUUUAGAAAAUGAUUAAGCUAGUUCGUAGUCAACUCAGCAACCGUCUCCCCAGCAACUGCGCCAAAAAUGCUUGUUGACACUUGCUAACACCACUUGAAUACUAGGUUGUCAUCCCCAGCAUGGCACUAGAGUGUACUAUGGUAUUUAUACGCACACAGAUAAAUCCGCAACCGCACGGAUACUAUUGUAGCUUUUACCCGGUUAAAGGGUUUAUCGUAUCCAUAGGGAAACAGGAGAAUUGAUCUACGCUCUAACUUAACCUAGAUAGAUAGGUAGGUGUAAAUAGGAAAGAUGAUAGGAUUGAAUAAGAACAAUAUUAAAGGUAAGAUAACAGUGAGUAAAUAUAGAGUAGAGCAAUCUAAUAUAUGGGCGAUGGUAGGAGAAUAGAGAGGAUAACUAUGGUUUCUCCACUUCAAAGGGGUAUGUCUAUAUCUGGGACGAACCACGUGAUAAGAAUACACCACAAAGGAUGCUUAUCCAUAGGCCGAUAAACCCUACCCGUCCUGCUAACAGGAGGUGGACUACAGGGGACCAACGUAACUGUCACCUAUGCGGUCUACCACACGAUCCAGCUAGACAGGGGAUAUCCACAAGUAAUCUAGGUCUAAGCACCAUGCUUACACCUAUACUACAACUCUCACCUAUAGCGUCCUAUAGAUUAAAGUACUCAAAAGAGUUGUGAACCAGAACAUAGAUGAAUAGUAAUUGCAUAAUGAAUUAGAAGUAGAUUACCAGAGUCAUCCCAUGAGCAAGCUUGAUUAGAGCUUGAUCAUGACGAAGUACAACCGGAGGAAGAACCGACAGGCCGGCCUCUCCUCCAAUCCUCCCUCGCUCUCCAUCUCGCUACUAUCUAGAUCUACUCUAGUUUAGAGAUGAGAGGAGAGCUCUCAUCUCCAAACCCUAGCUUUUGCUCUGUCUAUGAAUAAUGAAUAGGGAUCAAAGGGUGCCUCCUCCAGGGGCCAGGGGGUCUGCUUAUAUAGUCCCCACAAGUGAAUCUGGGUCGUCGGAUCAAACCGACAUUGAUUGAGCGGUUAUCCUUGAUCCUUUAGGUCGGUGGAACGUAAUCCGCGAGACGGGUCCUAUUUGGACUCUAUAGCUGGGCGGGCGCCCUACCCCUGGGCCCGAUCGUCCUCCCGUUCGUUCCCGUGGCUUCUGGAGUCUUCUAGAUGAUAGAAAAUUGCGCGGCACGUUAAUAUCUCUAUGUAAUCCCGACAUGUAGGCCUUUCCUCCAUAUUUCCUGAUAAUCCCCUGCAGAAAUAGACAAACACCAACACUCGUGGAAUUUUGUCAGAUAAAACACUAAGUCUGGGUGUUGGUUGCAUUUGGAUCCUUUUAUUUAUUUAUUUGAUGAUUAUAUUUGGUACUUAAGGACCGUCAACAGAUACCAUAAUCCAACAUCAUGAGUUCCCUUAAGAUACCUCAAUAUCCUCUUGGUUGCCUUCAAGUGACUCUCCCUUGGUGAAGCUUGAUAUCUUGCACACUUGCAUAGACUAAACAUCACAUCUGGUCUUGAUGCGGUGACAUAGAGCAAACUUCCAAUCAUGGACCAAUAUAGCUUUUGAUCUACCAUGUUGCCACUUGCAUCACUACCUAAUUGAUCAUUUGUGCCCACAGCUGUGUUCAUUGGUUUAGCUUCUUGCAACCCAAAUUUCUUGAUCAUGGCCUUGAUGUACUUUCCUUGACUUAGAGAAGUGUCAUUCUUCAUUUGCUUGAUUUGAAGACUGUCGGUGUCUUCCCCAUGGGGGGUCACACCAACGAGUAAAUUUGUGUGCGUGCUCCCUUUCCCAGAUGGUGAUGCAAGAAGACACAGAGAUUUAUCCUGGUUCGGGCAAGAGAAGGCCCUACGUCCAGCGGGGGGGAGAGGCUUGUAUUAUCUUGCACCUAAGUGCUUGUAUAGGGGUGAAUACAAGCGUGGUAUGAAGUGUGUGAGCCCUACUGCGUAUGUGUGUAGUAUUGCGCGGUGUUCUAUUCCUGAGUCUCUCCUUUUAUAGUUCCAAGGAGUGACUUAGGGUACAUGCGUAGAUGUCAGAGUAGGGGUCGGUAGCAGCAUGGAGCGCUGACCUACUCGAGGCUUCUGUACCGGCAUGACUUCGAGCUGUCCCAUCUUAAUAGCCUGGUGAUGAUUACGCGUGCCCCUGCAUUCUGCUCUGUGCACCGUCUUGUGCUGGCUCAACGGUCGCAUGCUCGUACGGUAGAGCGGCAGAUCCGGCGGGGUAGUUAUGGUGUUAUCAGUCGACGCUCCACACGUCCCUAGGAAGGAACCUUGUUCGGUCGAGGGUCGGACGCCGUGUACCGUGACAAUAUCCGGAGCACUGACCUUGAAUGUCUCGAGGGGGUCCCGAUUAGACGUCCCAUCCUUGUUUCCCGCGCCCUAACAUGCCCUGGGCCGUUCGGCGGGAAGGCUGCAAAAAGAUCGUUGGGACGGAUGCCUGUUCCCUAUCACGCCUCCCAUGACCUGUGUGUUAGGUGGGGAAGCAUCAGGCGCAUUUAAUGCCCCGGUUCGCGUGCGCGCGUCAGGCGGCGGGGGGCGUCUUUGCGCUCGACGCCUCCUGGUUCGCGUGAGCCUGUUCCGUAUUCGACGGUAACCAGCGCUCGACGCCUGAUCGAUUCGCUCGACGCUAUUUCCGUCUUCGAGGUUGCGGCAGUCGAUGGCAGCGCACACGUAAGACUAGAGCGUCGAAUUGAGGGCCGCGACCUGCGUACGGGCAAUCUCGUAAUGCACAUCGGUGAGGGUACCCCUUACUGAUACCCUCGACAGUAGCCCCCGAGUCUCCAUUUGAGCGCUAGCGCUCGAGUGGAGGCUUUUGUUUUGCGGUCGAAUUUCCGUGGGGGCGCGCGAGCGACCCUGCGGGGGUAGCCCCCGAGCCUUCGGGGGAGUUUUUGACUCCUUCGAGGGUUAUAUUGUUUAAUUCGCAGAAGCGCUUUCGACACCGGUGGUGGAAGGUUCUGACUGGCUCGUUUUGCCCGGGGGUUUCGACGUACUCUCGAUAGAGCGAGCGUCUUCCACCCCAGAUUGAGUUCCUAGCGGGUAGUCCAAGUUAGAACCUGUGCCCCUUUCGAGGGGGUCAGCUGUAGCCCGGAGGCGUUCUCAUAAAGCGGGAUCGACGUGGUCGGGGAUACCAGUCUCAUUCGAUAGAGUCCGGCGGCUCGAUGCCUCCCGUCGGGGGGAUUCCUCUCGACUGUCUCGACCCUACCUUGGAUAUCGCCAGCGAGUCCUUGAGGCGGGCCUCGAUAUUCGACCGCUCGGUGGAGAUCCCUGACUCUGGCGCUCGAGAUCGACUGCCGAACCCUUUCGGCGGGCCAGCCAUCGACCUCUCGAGACUCUCGCGGGUACGCCCCUUGGCUUACAAGGGAAGGAAGUAGCCGUGACGGUUCGCCUUUCUGCCCGUUGGGCGCGCCUUUUCGGGUGGAUGACGUUACGACACUGCGUCGGCGUGGAAUUCGGAACGCCACGCCUGUAAAGGGGGGAGACUGUUAGGUGGCGCAUUUAUGGGGGGACGUUACCUCAUUUCUCGGAUCUGUCCGUUGGCAGAUCGUGGCUUAUAAAUACGCCGCGGCACCGCCGCCGUUGUUUCUUCCGCCUCCCAUCUUCACUCUUGCCUUAGCCUCUUUGCCGUCUUAGCUCUCUCGCCGUCUCACGCGCACACGCCUCCUCGAGCAGUAGCGGAUCCACCGUCCCUCCAGCCGAGAUGCCUGUAAGACUCGUCACCGCCGCCGACUGGCGCCCGUCGUUGAUGAUGGAGCGCCGGUUGUUAGAGCUUGAGAAAGAGGGACUGCUGUGCCGCCGUACCACGCUAUCGUCGCCAGAGUGGAUCGCGCCGCCGGCGAGUCACAGGGAGCCCCAGCCGCCCGAGGGCUACGUGGUGUCGUUCGCCAAGUUCCACCGCCACGGCCUGGGCGCGCCCUCGAGCCGCUUCACGCGGGCCCUCUGCUUCCACUAUGGGGUGGAGCUCCAGCACUUCUCCCCGAACGCCAUCACCGUCGCGGCGAUCUUCACCGCGGUACGUGAGGGCUAUCUGGGGAUGAUGCCCCACUGGGAUCUGUGGCUCCACCUCUACAGGGGCGAGCUUUUCAAUGCCCCCACCGGAACCACCGGCGUGAGGAAGCAUGUGCGGGCCGGGUGCCUCAACCUGGUAUUGAAGAUGAAGAAGACAGAAAGGCUGCGCGAGUACAUCCCGGUGGGUCUGUCAUCGAACCACGCUGGGUGGGACUCCCAGUGGUUCUACCAGUGGAACGACGACGGUCUCUUCCCCGCCUACACGGGCCGUCUGAUCACGGAGCGCCCGGACAACUGGACGUACGACGUCGUCCAGGAGCACCAGUCGCGGCUCGACCCCCUCCUCAUGCCAUGAAGAAGCUGUGCCUGGACGGCCUGUCCGCCGCUCUCGUCCUCUCGGCCGUCCAUCGUCGAAGGGUCCUUCCCUUGAUGUCUCGGCCGUUGAGGAUGGACGAGAUAGGGCCGGGCGUCUCGUCCCGGGAUCUCGAGGCUUGCCGGAUGUCCAACGUGGCUCUGGCGGACGACGAGGUCGCCGCCCGGGUCAGGGCGGCCAUUGCCGGCGACUUUAAGCCGGAGCAUGUCAACGGCUUCCCUAUGAGGCCCGACGAAGGCUCGGUCGAUCUGGUAUGUUUUCUUCUUCGCGCGUAGCCUUGACUCUGGGUUCCUUUUCCUCCCUUUUUUCUAAGUUCACUUUUAUUCUGGCAGGGGCGGAUCGACGUCCGGUCCUCGACGCCCCCGGUAAGGGAGGACGAAGUUGAUCGCGACGCGCGGCGCCGGUCCGCCGAGAAGAUGAAGUCCGCCAAGGACUCUAAGAAGAAGGGGGAGAAAAAGAAAAACCUUGACCGCCAAGCCUUAGAGGCGCGUCGGUCCAAAUCCAGGCAGAGGGGAGAGCCUGAGGAGGAGUCCCCCAGUGACGAAGACGACGAUGAUGACGAGGACAGUGACGACUCUGAGGGGAUGGCAUCACGCCUCGACCGAAUCCUCGAGGGUCCGCCUCGAGGCGACGCUGACGCCCCCCGGACAGAGACUCCAAAGGAAGGUCCAAGCGGAUCUCACCGCCCUCGGGCCGACACCCCCCCACGCUCAAGGCUGGUCAGGUCGCACCGCUUCCUCCCCCGGCGCCCAAAGAGGGCGGUCAUGCUAUGCCCCAGGUGACGGGGCCACUUACUCGCGGCCGCGCCGCGGCCUCCGAGAAAGGAGAGGCCGGCCGUAGGAGUGCCAGUCCCGGCACCCGCCAGGCGGGAACUGACGCGCCUAGGCCCGCGCCCGCCCUCGAAGGGCCUGGAGCCCUGACGCGAGGUGGCUCGAGGCCCACCAGUCGGGGCGGCGGGAGGCGAGCUGUUCUCCCUGUGGGGUAAGCCUUUUCGUUGUUGUGGCCUUUGUCUUCCUGCUCCUCCGCAUUUCCUCAUAUGCCGAUCUUUUCUCAGGCUAAAGCGGACCCUCGAGCAGGCCCAGCCGUCCAUGGCAAAGAGGCUCAAAACGGGAGCCGCCUUCAAGGAACCAGGUUCGUAGUUUAUUUCUGGGCCUUGCGAUGUUCUUAUGUCGGUUACUAUAGCGUCUGGCCUUUACCCUUUGCUUUGUAGGCUUCUCCGACUCCCAACCUCCAGCCGGCAUCGAGAGGGCUCCGCCUCGUCCCGUGCCUACCCCGUCGCCGCCGACUUGUGGUGAGGCGCCCCAGACGCAAGCGUCAGAGGGAGCCCCCGAGCCUCCUAAAUUGGGGGUCGAGGGGGAACCCAUCACCAUCAGCGAUACGUCUGAGGGUAACGAAGCGUCUGGGGGUGCCCGCCCUAUGGAGGAGUAAACGUCGACCUCCCACGUCGCGGGACGGACUCCCUGGCCUGCUGGCCUUCGAGCUCUCGAAGAGCAAAGGAAGAUGGAGGAGGAGGAGGAGCGGGAGCGCGAGGCGACACGGCCGUCACUGGAGCAGCAGCAACAACAACAACCCCAGUCGGUGGAGCAGCAACAGCAGCUGCAGCGUCAGCAGGAGGAGCAGCAGCAGCGGCAGGAGCAGCAACAGCAACAGCAGCAGAGGGGCCAAGAGGACGAGCCACUCGAGCCCCCGCCUCAAGGUCUGGCCCAAACGGCGCCACUAGCGCCGCAAGAGCCCGGCGAUCAGGAGGAAAAUUUGCCGGUGUACGGCCCUCCCACCCCAGCGUGGCUUCUCCCGGGGGCGCCUGCCGCGAUCCGGGCAGAGUCGGGGCGAGCGGACGGAGUGGUGGCGCUCGCCUGUAUGAUGCGCACCCCCACCGACCCCGAGUCCGAGAUCAAGAGGAUGAUCUACGGCAUGGACGGGAUCGCCCCAGGGUUCCUCCGGGAGCGUCGAGCGUGGGAGGACCGCUUUCCCUCUGAGGAGGAUGAGAUUGGGUCGUCAGGGAGCAAGGACGGUACCUGGAAGACGGUGGACGACGACGGGCGGUUCCCUUGCCUCAUCGACCUGUUCUUGCGCCACAGGGGUUCCCUCGAGACCGUCGAGAACCUUAUCCGCGGCGUCAAGGCGCGGGCUGAUCGGGAGAUGGAGAACUGGUGUCCCGAUCAGAUUCGUCUCCGAGCUUCCACCGACCCGUUCGAGCCCAAUAUCUUCCUCGGCGACAAGAAGGAGGCCGAGAAGUGGGAGCAUGUCGAGGAGCUCCGCCUUUGGAUGAAGCACGUGGUGGGGCUCCUGUCGGACAUCAUCAACAACGGGCUUGGGCCUGCUUAUUUUGUAAGUGUUUUUCGAUCUUUGGUCUUCGUGGAGCCUUUUGGUUUUGUGCUCUAACUGUUUGUCCACCGGCUCGUAGGAUAUGAAAGAGACCUCCCGCAUCAAGUCGAGCUUUAUCCACGCCACACGAGGCGGCUGGGAGCAGCUCCCCGUCCUCAAGGAUCAACUCCUCGAGUCGCAGGAGAAACUUCUUAAGGCCUAUAAAGAUCUCAUAGCGCUCGAGGAGGAGAAGAAGGCGAGGGAGGCUGCCUUGGCGGAGGCUUGAGAGGCUUCGAAGAAGGCGGAGGAGGAGACGACGCUGCUGCGGGAGCGGGCUCUGACGGUCGAGGAGGCUGCAUCCAGAGCCCGGGAGGAGGCCCUGUCCUACAAGAACGUUAUUGCGGAUCUGGACAAGGAGAAGGCCCUUCUCAAGACCGACCUAGACUCCCUUCGCAAUUCCUUCCAGAAGAUGAAGGUGGCGUAUGUGGAUAGUGAGGUCGCCAGGAGUGCCGCCGAGGACAUAAAUAAGAAGGCCCUCGAAGACCUCGAGGCGGAGCGAGCUCGAUCCCGCAGUCUCUCUGACGACGUUGAGCGUCUGAGGGCAGAAUUGCUGGUGAAGAGUGUGGCCAUUGCUCAGGCUGGCAAGGUGAUCGAAGAUCUCCGCGUUGCCAAUACUGAGCUGGCGCGUUCCAAUAGAGAGAUCGAGAGGGCCAACACCAGAUUGGUCGUUGAGAACACGGCCCUGGAGGAGAGCGUUCGAGGUAUGUUUCCUUUGUCGGGUUAUUUUUUCGAGGUGUGCUUGGUUUUUUCCUAAAGCUUCUUGUAUUGGCGUUUACAGGGCUUAAGGACGAACUCCUAGCCGCCCAAGUCGAGGCCCGUAAUGCUAAGGCCCUGCUCGAGGCGGAGGUCGCUUUGAACCGUCGCGUGCGGACGGCGAUAAGCGACCUCUCGACCUCUUGGGAGGUCGAGCCAAUGGACGAGUCGAGGGAGGGAGCUCGAGGCAACGCACUGGUCGACCAGCUGUGCUACUUAGGCGCGGUGCUGAAAGACCGAGUGCGGGACGCCCUCCACAUCGGGGUGAAGCGGGCAAUGGCAGUUGUCUGCUCGGGCUUCUCCUAUGACAUGGAGGUGGUGUCCCACGGCUUUGUCACCGACAUCUCCAAGACCGACGUGGAGAACGAAGAGAGGCUCCACGCCUUGAUCGACGACGCGGAGGCUCCUGGGGAAAGGCUGGCUAAGCUUUUUGAGCCUGAGGUGCUUCCUCCUGAGACUGGCUCGGGCACAGGCGAGGGUGGUGAGGACCAUACCAUGGACUGAGGCCUGCGAGCGUGCUCAGGGUGCCCAGGGCCCCUUGUAUAAUACUUUGUUAACUCCGUUUUUAAGCGACAUAGUAUCUUUUUGUAAUUGUUGAAUGUUUAUUUGUCUUUCCGCUCGAGGUUCUUUUAUUCCUUCUUAUUCCUACGUUUGUAUUUCUUGUUCGAUCUUUCGUCAAAAACAACCUCGAUCACCUCAAGGGUAAGGAAGUGAGUAGAGUUUCCGUAGCCCGGGGGCGUAGGGGUUCUCAGGCUUGUUGUCCCUCGGCUUUUGAGGGGCUCGAGGUGCCUUGGCUACUCAAAUCGUGCAAGGUUUACUAAGUAAGAAAAGAAAAUUUCUUGGCUUUUUCGACGUUUGGGGUGGGGUCGUCCCCCUGGUAGCCCCCGAGGGGGGUGUUGACUAUGAUGGGUCAUAGUCGGCGCCCCCUUCUAUCGUCGAGAUCAUGACUUGUAAAGCCUUAGUACAAAAAGAAGUUGGAUGCUCGAGGGAAGGACUUCAUCUAUUCAUACAUUCGUUUACAGGGUCUUGGUACAAAAUAUACGUAAGAACAUAAGUUUUGAACUUCUAGGGGUAGAAUCGACGUAGCUGUUCGAUAUUCCAUGCGUUGGUGAAGACCGCCCCCUUCUCGUCCGCUAACUUGUACGUUCCUGGCUUCAAGACCUCGGCCACCACGUACGGGCCUUCCCAUGGCGGGGUCAGCUUGUGACGUCCUUGGUUGCUUUGCCGUCGUCGUAGGACAAGGUCGCCUACGUUUAAGUCCCUCUUGCAUACGUGUUUGUCGUGGUAGUGUCGAAGCUUCUGCUGGUAUCUGGCAGAGUUGAGGAGGGCCAUGUCUCGAGCCUCCUCAAGCUAAUCGACCGCGUUCUCUUGAGCUUCCUUAUUCGACUGCUCGUUGUAUGCCUUGAGUCGAGGAGAUCCAUACUCGAGGUCCGUUGGGAGCACGGCCUCAGAACCGUAGACCAUGAAGAACGGGGUGUAUUUGGUGGCCCGGCUUGGCGUCGUCCUCAAACUCCAUAAGAUCGAGGAAAGCUCCUCGACCCAUUUCUUGCCGAAUUUCUUCAAGCGAUUGUAGAUUCUUGGUUUGAGCCCCUGCAAGAUCAUGCCGUUCGCACGCUCGACCUGGCCGUUAGUUCGAGGGUGAGCCACCGCGGACCAGUUCACACGGAUGUGAUGCUGAUCGUAGAAGUCCAUGAACUUUUUGCCGGUGAACUGGGUGCCAUUGUCGGUGAUGAUUACGUUAGGGAUUCCGAAUCGGUGUAUGAUGUCGGUGAAGAAAAGGACGGCUUGCUCGGAGCGGAUGUUGGUGAUGGGUCGAGCCUCGAUCCAUUUGGAGAAUUUGUCGAUGGCCACCAGCAAGUGGGUGUACCCUCCUUUCGCUUUUUGCAGGGGCCCCACUAAGUCGAGUCCCCACACCGCAAAUGGCCACGUGAUGGGGAUCAUCUGAAGAGCGUGGGCGGGAAGAUGCGUCUGUUUGGCGUAAAAAUGGCAUCCAUGACAUGAGCGUACGAGCUCGAUGGCAUCCGCUACGGCCGUCGGCCAGAAGAAACCUUGUCGGAAAGCGUUCCCUACGAGGGUCCGUGGAGCAGCAUGGUGGCCACAAGCCCCCGAGUGUAGGUCCUCGAGUAGUUUCCGGCCUUCUUCCACAGUGAUGCAACGCUGCAGGACCCCCGUCGGGCUUCGUCGGUAUAGCUCAUUGCCUUCACCGUAAAUCACGUAUGACUUGGCUCGUCGAGCGAUAUGGCGGGCCUCAGAUGGAUCUUCUGGCAGUUCGCAGUGGAUUAGGCAGUCGAGGAACGGUGUGCGCCAGUCGAACGGUCGACCGGGUCGCUGUUCUGCCUCCAUCACCUCUGCUGCCACCAGCAGCGUGUCGACGGUGUCGGUUGGCUGGGCAGAAGCGGCAUCGACGCCAACCCCCGAGCCCAAGUCGACGGAUGGCUCGUGGAGAUCUCUCGAGAGCGCGUCAGGCGGUACCGUGCCUCGGGUUGACGGGAUUUUGGCGAGUUCGUCAGCUGCUUCGUUGUAGCGUCGGGCGAUGUGGACGAGCUCGAGGCCAUGGAACUUGUCUUCGAGCCGACGGACUUCUUUGCAGUACGCAUCCAUUUUCGGGUCGUGGCAGCUCGAAGUCUUCAUCACCUGGUCGAUGAUGAGUUGGGAGUCACCUCGGACGUCGAGGCGUCAGACUCCUAGCUCGAUGGCAAUCUUGACACCGUUGACGAGGGCCUCAUAUUCUGCGACGUUGUUGGAUGCGGCAAAGUGAAUCCUGAUGACAUACCUCAUAUGGACGCCCAAGGGUGAGAUGAACAACAGGCCAGCCCCGGCCCCCGUUUUCAUGAGUGACCCGUCGAAAUACAUCGUCCACAGUUCCGCCUGGACCUGGGUCGGGGGGAGCUGGGAGUCUGUCCAUUCCGCGAUGAAAUCCACCAGGGCUUGCGAUUUGAUGGCCUUGCGGGGCGCGUACGUGAGAGUCUCACUCAUGAGUUCGAUCGACCAUUUAGCUAUCCUUCUUGUGGCCUCCUUGCUCUGGAUUAUCUCGCCCAAAGGGAAAGACGAGACCACUGUGAUGGGGUGGCCGAGAAAGUAGUGCUGCAGCUUGCGGCGGGUGAGGAUUAUGGCGUAGAUCAGCUUCUGGAUUUGGGGGUAACUUACCUUGGUCUCUGAAAGCACUUCGCUAACGAAAUAGACUGGCCUUUGGACUGGCAGCGCUUGCCCCUCUUCCUACCUCUCGACCACCACCGCUGCACUAACGACCUGGGUCGUCGACGCAACGUAAAGGAGCAGUGGUUCUGCAGGUUGAGGCAGGACCAAGACCGGUGCUGAGGUCAGCGUUUUCUUCAGUCUUUCGAGAGCUCCCUCGGCCUCAGGGGUCCAAGAAAAGCGCUCGACCUUCUUCAGGAGUCAGUACAGCGGUAACGCCUUUUCCCCUAGUCUCGAGAUGAAAUGACUCAGAGCCGCCAAGCAUCCCGUGACUCUUUGGACACCCUUGACGUCCCGGAUCGGCCCCAUUCUCGUGAUGGCCUAGACUUUCUCGGGAUUGGCCUCGAUACCGCGCUGGGAUACAAUGUAACCCAAGAGCAUGCCUCGAGGUACGCCGAAGACGCAUUUCUCGGGAUUGAGCUUGAUCUGGUUGGUGCGUAAGCAGCUAAAAGCGAUCUCGAGGUCUUGGAUCAGGUCCCCUCGCUGCUUUGAUUUGACGACAAUGUCGUCGACGUAGGCCUCGACCGUCGACCCUAUGUGUUCGCCAAAUACGUGGAGCAUGCAACGUUGGUACGUGGCUCCCACGUUUCGAAGCCCAAACGGCAUGGUUACAUAGCAAUACAUCCCAAAAGGCGUGAUGAAAGAGGUCGCGAGCUAGUCGGACUCUUUCAUUUUGAUUUGAUGGUAGCCAGAAUAUGCAUCGAGGAAACAAAGGGUUUCACAUCCCGCAGUAGAAUCGACAAUCUGGUCAAUACGUGGUAAUGGAAAAGGAACUUUCGGACAUGCUUUAUUUAGACUUGUAUAAUCGACACACAUCCUCAUUUUCCCAUUCUUUUUCUUAACUAAUACAGGGUUUGCUAACCAGUAGGGAUGAUGAACCUCCUUGAUGAAUCCGGCCGUCAAAAGCUUGUGGAAGUCCUCGCCAAUGAUCUUGCGCUUCUCCUCGUCGAAUCGGCGCAACCGUUGCUUCACUGGCUUGGAACCGGCUCGAAUCUCCAAGGAGUGCUCGGCGACUUCCCUCGGUAUGCCUGGCAUGUCCGAGGGACUCCAUGCAAACAUGUCGGCGUUCGCACGGAGAAAGUCGACGAGCAUAGCUUCCUAUUUGGGGUCGAGGUCGGCGCUGAUCGUCAGCACCUUGCCAUCGGAGUUGUUGGGGUCGAGCGGGAUCUUCUUGGUUCCUUCCGCUGGCUCGAAGUUGCCCGCGUGGUGCUUGGGCUCUGCAGCCUCAGCGGCCAGGGCCUCGAGCUUUGCGACGAGCUCAGUGGAGUUCUCGACCGCCUCCCCGUGCUCGACGCACUCGACGUCACACUCGUAAGCGUGCUCGAAGGAGGAGCUGACGGUGAUGACGCCUUUGGGUCCAGGCAUCUUGAGCUUCAAGUAGGUGUAGUUGGGAAUGGCCAUGAACUUGGCGUAGCCCGGGCGCCCGAUGAUGGCGUGGUACGUGCCCCGAAACCCGACCACCUCAAUGGUGAGGGUCUCCUUCCUGAAGUUAGCCGCCGUGCCAAAGCAGACCGGUAGGUCGAUUCGACCUACUGGCAGCGCCUUUUUCCCUGGCACGACGCCAUGGAAACCGCCGGCGCUUGGCUGGAGGCGUCCCCUAUCGAUGCCGAGGAGGUCGAGGGUCUCGAGAUAGAUGAUGUUGAGGCUGCUGCCUCCGUCCAUUAGCAGCUUAAAGAGCCGGGUGUUGAUGAUGAUUGGGUCGACGACGAGCGGGUAGACACCUGGGGCGACUACCUUGUCGGGGUGGUCCUCUCGAUCGAAGGUAAUGGGGGUGCUCGACCAGUUGAGGUACUGGGGCACCGCCAUUCUUGCCGCAAAGACCUCACGGCGUUACCUUUUGCGCUGCCUCGUGGUUAACUGCGUAGAAGGCCCACCAUAGAUCAUGUAGCAGUCGUGGACGGCGGGGAAACCGUUGUCGUUCUUGCUGCCCUCUUUGUCACCGCCUUUCUGCUUCUUCGAGUCGUCACGCUCAUCCCUUUUGAACCCCAGACCGUCGAAAUGCCUUUUCAGCAUUCGACAGUCCUUGAGCUUGUGGUUGGCGCCUCCCUUAUGGUAAGGGCAUGGCUCUUCGAGCAUCUUGUCGAAAAUACCUCCGUCUGGGGGGCCUCUAGGCUUCUUCCGCUCCACAGCAGCGACGAGAUCGUCGUCGAAGUUCUCCUGCUUGUACUGUCGCACUUUCUGCUUGUUCUUGUUCUUCUUGAGCCCUCUACUGGGGGUUCCAUCUUCAUCGGCAGGCCGCUUGCCUUUCCCCCCUUCACAGCUGAAGAAGGUGCCGACUGCCUCUUCCCCUGCCGCGUAGUUUGCCACUACGUCCAUCAGCUCAUCGACGGUCUGAGGGCGAUUUCGGCCCAGUUCCCGCACUAAGUCUCGACUGGUGGUACCAGAGACGAAAGCCAGGAUGACGUCAUAGUCGGGGAUGUGCGGCAGCUCAGUGCGCUGCUUCGAGAAGCGUCGAGCAUACUCUCGUAGAGUUUCUUCUGACUUCUGCUUGCACUUGCUGAGGUCCCACAAAUUUCCGGGCCGUAUGUAGGUCCCUUUGAAAUUUCCCUCGAAGACUUUAACCAAAUCGACCCAGUCGUGGAUUUGAUUUGCUGGAAGUUCCUCAAGCCAUCGACGGGCGGUGUCGAAGAGGAAGAGUGGUAGCUGUCUCAUGAUGGCUCGAUCAUCCCCUCGAGCGCCACCUAGCUGGCAGGCCAGCCUAAAAUCAGCCAGCCAUAAUUCUGGUUUGGUCUCUCCAUUGUAUUUCGCGAUGCUGGUCGGGGGUCGGAAUGGACUGGGCAGGGGCGUGCUGCGGAUCGCCCUGCUGAACACCCGUGGGCCUGGUGGCUCGGGGGCCACCCGGUCCUCGUCGCUGUCGUACCUUCCGCCGCGAUGUGCGCUGUAACCUCGCUCUUCCGCGUCUCCGUGGCGGCGGCGUCGAUUCUCUUCGAUGUCAUGCCGCGCAUCGUGUCGACGCUGAUUGUCGACGGGGAGAACGAGAGCGGUCUUUCUGCCUCGAGGAGACACCUCCUUUUCAUUUUGAGGCUGCUCGUCGCGCUUUUUAGUGGCAGCUCCUCAUCGUCGAGAAGCUGAGCUUUCGGCUUGUUGAACUGCCGCCACCUGGAGCAGGGUCUGUACCUCGUCUCGAAUGCGUCGAGCCUGGGAGUUCGACGGCUCUAGCAUGUUGCACAGCAGCAUCGUCGCCGCCACUACAUUUUGGCCUGCUCGAGGGAAGCGGCUGACGGGCUGCUCUGGCUCUGCGUCUCCGACGAUUUGUCGAUGUACCUCUCGAGCACGUCUGCGAACACUUCCGCCUGGCGGGUAUGGCAAGUCUUGCUCAAGGAUUUGCUCAAGCAGGACGAGGCGCUCUCGGUCUUCAUCGAGCUUCAUCUUGAGCUCUCGCAGCUGCGCUAGCUGUGCAGCCUUGUCUUCUUGUGGAGGGGGGUCGACCUGUCCGUCGUUCCCAGGCGUCCUGGGGUCUUCUCGCGCCGUGGGGGCUCGACCGCCUGCAGCAGCAUCCCGCGUCUCGUCAGUAGUUUCUACUGCCCCGUCGACGUGAUAGCAUUCCCUCGUAGGGUCGUAGCUAUCAGUCUCGGAGUCGAAGUCCGACUCGGUGGUGUAGAAGCAUCCACAUCCGUCCUCCAGCAGCCGCUGCCUAAGUGAGGUGAUUGUGUAUCGCCCAGGGCCUUGGCGGCGGAGGCCUCGCUCCUGGGAGAAAUCUGGCAGUUCGGACGUCGGCCGUAAUGUCUCGGAGUCACGUGGGAGGACCAUUGGUCUCUCCACGUUCGUCUGAGCAUUUGGGCAUAUUGCUCUGGCGAGCGACGUCGCGGCGUUGUCCAAUCCGAAUGGCAGUGCCCUUCUUGGAGUGGACAACCCGCGUGGAAGUAGUUUAGUAGCGGUGGGGGAGGGCGCGCGAGACGCGUCCCCUCCCAUCGUCGUGCGAUGUUGAGCCGUCGUGCCUGCGGUUCCGGCGCAUGGUGUUGCCGGCUCGCGGUCCACCUCCUGCCUCGCACGAGUUGCCGGUCGUGAUGAGGCAGAGGGGCGACGGUAGUGCUGUCCGCGCUUCUUCUUGGGCGGGGAGGCGUGGUGGCGAGGGCGUCUUGGGGCCCUCAACCGAGCUGGUGCAACGCGGGCUCCUCCCAGUUCUUUGACUGAGAGCAAGAUCAUGUCGUAGCCGGAGCCCGUAGACAUGAACUCGAGACUCCCAAACCAAAUCACCGUGGAGCGCGGAAUCGGCGAGGCAAGAGCUGCCAUCUGGAAAGGAGUGGGAAACCGAUGAAAAACACGCAGGACCCCUACCUGGCGCGCCAACUGUCGGUGUCUUUCCCACGGGGGGUCACACCAACGAGUAAAUUUGUGUGCGUGCUCCCUUUCCCAGAUGGUGAUGCAAGAAUACACAGAGAUUUAUCCUGGUUCGGGCAAGAGAAGGCCCUACGUCCAGCGGGGGGGAGAGGCUUGUAUUAUCUUGCAACUAAGUGCUUGUACAGGGGUGAAUACAAGCGUGGUAUGAAGUGUGUGAGCCCUACUGCGUAUGUGUGUAGUAUUGCGUGGUGUUCUAUUCCUGAGUCUCUCCUUUUAUAGUUCCAAGGAGUGACUUAGGGUACAUGCGUAGACGUCAGAGUAGGGGUCGGUAGCAGCAUGGUGUGCAGACCUACUCGAGGCUUCCGUACCGGCAUGACUUCGAGCUGUCCCGUCUUAAUAGUCUGGUGAUGAUUACACGUGCCCCUGCAUUCUGCUCUGUGCGCCGUCUUGUGCUGGCUCAACGGUCGCAUGCUCGUACGGUAGAGCGGCAGAUCUGGCGGGGUAGUUAUGGUGUUAUCAGUCGACGCUCCUCACGUCCCUAGGAAGGAACCUUGUUCGGUCGAGGGUCGGACGCCGUGUACCGUGACGAUAUCCGGAGCGCUGACCUUGAAUGUCUCGAGGGGGUCCCGAUUAGACGUCCCAUCCUUGUUUCCCGCGCCCUGACAUGCCCUGGGCCGUUCGGCGGGAAGGCUGCAAAAAGAUCGAUGGGACGAAUGCCUGUUCCAUAUCACGCCUCCCGUGACCUGUGUGUUAGGUGGGGAAGCGUCAGGCGCAUUUAAUGCCCCGGCUUGCGUGCGCGCGUCAGGCGGCGGGCAGCGUCUUUGCGCUCGACGCCUCCUGGUUCGCGUGAUCCUGUUCCGUAUUCGACGAUAACCAGCGCUCGACGCCUGAUCGAUUCGCUCGACGCUAUUUCCGUCUUCGAGGUUGCGGCCGUCGAUGGCAGCGCACACGUAAGACCAGAGCGUCGAAUUGAGGGCCGCGACCUGCGUACGGGCAAUCUCGUAAUGCACAUCGGUGAGGGUACCCCUUACUGAUACCCUCGACAAAGACCAAGGAAGUAACUAAGCUCUCCUAUCAUGGACAUCUCAAACUCAUGAGCCAUCAUUCUUCCAAACUCUUCACAAAAGUCUUGACUGGUUGAUCCAAAAAUGAUAUCAUCAACAUAGAUUUGCAACACAAACAAGUCAUUUCCUAGUUUCUUGGUGAAGAGGGUAGUGUCAACCUUUCCCAUCUUGAACCCUUUAGAGAGAAGAAAGUCUCUCAAGCUCACAUACCAUGCUCUAGGUGCUUGCUUCAAACCAUACAAUGCCUUCUUGAGCUUGUUGUUGACACUUGCUAACACCACUUGAAUACUAGGUUGUCAUCCCCAGCAUGGCACUAGAGUGUACUAUGGUAUUUAUACGCACACAGAUAAUCCGCAAGCGCAUGGAUACCGUUGAAGCUUUCACCCGGUUAAAGGUUUUAUCGUAUCCACAGGGAAACGGGAGAACCAACUAGGCUCUAACUUAACCAAGAUAGAUAGAUAGGUAUAAAUAGGAAAGAUAGUAGAAUUGAAUAAGAACAAUAUUAAAGGUAAGAUAACAAUGGGUAAUAAUAUGGGAAUAGAGUGUAGAGCAAUUCUAGUAUAUGGGCGAUGGUAGCAGAAUAGAGAGGAUAACUAUGGUUUCUCUACUUCAAAGGGGUAUGUCUAUGUCUAGGACGAACCACGUGAUAAGAGUACACCACAAAGGAUGCUUAUCCAAAGGCCGAUAAACCCUACCCGUCCUGCUAACGAGAGGUGGACUACAGGGGACCAACGUAACUGUCACCUACGCGGCCUACCACACGAUCCACCUAGUCAGGGGAUAUCCACAAGUAAUCUAGGUCUAAGCACCACGCUUACACCUAUACUACAACUCUAACCUAUAGGGUCCUAUAGAUUAGAAGUACUCAAAAGAGUUGUGAACCAGAACAUACAUGAUUAGUAAUUGCAUAAUGAAUUAGAAGUAGAUUACCAGAGUCAUCCCAUGAGCAAGCUUGAUUAGAGCUUGAUCAUGGCGAAGUACAACCGGAGGAAGAACCGACAGGCCGGCCUCUCCUCUAAUCCUCCUUCGCUCUCCAUCUCGCUACUAUCUAGAUCUACUCUAGUUUAGAGAAGAGAGGAGAGUUCUCAUCUCUAAACCCUAGCUUUUGCUCUGUCUAUGAAUAAUGAAUAAUGAUCAAGGGGUGCCUCCUCCAGGGGCCAGGGGGUUUGGUUUUAUAGUCCCCUCAAGUGAACCUGGGCCGUCGGAUCAAACCGACAUUGAUUGAACAGUUAUUCUUGAUCCUUUAGGUCGGUGGAGAUCUCCCGAGAGAAAGAGUCCUGAUUGGGCUCCAGAGGUGGGCGGGCACCCAGUAGGACAGGGCGGGCGCCCUGCCUCUGGCCCCGUCUCGUGGCUUCUGGAGUCUUCUAGAUGUAAGAUAAUUGCGCAGCACGUUAAUAUCUUUACGUAAUCCCGACGUGUGGGGCUUUCUUCCUUAUUUCCUGAUAACCCCCUGCAGAAAUAGACAAACACCAAAACUCGUGGAAUUCUGUCAGAUAAAACCCUAAGUCUCGAUGUUGAUUUCAUUUGGAUCCUUUUCUUUGUUUAUUUGAUAGUUAAAUUUGAUACUUAAGGACCGUCAACAAACUCCCCCAAGCUUACCUCUUGCUCGUCCCUGAGCAAGGAUAAACUCAGCUAUGGAUCAUGAGUUGUUGCAAUAUCUUUAAAAAUUGAUGGUACACAUGCUUUUAAAUGAGGUCCCAUCUCUGAGUUAGAGUAAACUGUCAAGACUUAAAACUUACUUACUUUACCUUUCACCAUGGGACUUGUAACCGUCACUUCUGUCUUGAGUGGUUAAAAGAUAGAACAGUCCAGUCAAGUGCCAUGUCGCUUAUUCUUGAUCAGCUAUAGCUCUGGAGUUUUUGCAGAUUUUCAAAUAAAACUCAGAGAUUCCUUUGUAUGACUCUCUCAUAUCUCUCUUUUGUGGUAUUUCUGGAUCCUUACCAAGGCAGUGAUGGUAUAUGCCUUCUCUCAAAAUAUGUGGUAUUUGUGGUAUAAGGCAUAGUGACAUUGCCUUCUCUCUCACCCUACUCUAAUAAGGCUUUAAUAUCUGGAGCUCAUAGGUGGGAGAUAAAAUAUACAUACUUACAAGACAUUUAUUGUGUAGUCAAACUAUGGAUCCAAAGAAACAAAUCAAUAAGCCAAAUCAAGAUGUGCAUGUGUGGCGAAUGAAUGGUGUAUGGUGAUGAUGGUGAUAACAAUGGUGAAAGUCUAAUUCUACUUUUGCUCUUUUGAGGGGAUACAUACCUUCCUUGCUUUUUGAAACUUUAUGAGGAGAAUGAGAUGCUCUUCUUUUUUUUCUUUUCUCUCAGAUGGAUAUCUUAUACCCCUAAUUCUACUGUCGGACACUUGUCCAUUUUUACCUCUUGUCUCACUCUUUUUCUUUUCUUUCGAGGUUCCGGGCACUUGCCCCUUUUUAUUUCCUCAUUUAUUUAUUUAAUUUUUUUUCUUCUUUUUUUUUCUUCUCUUUUUUUAGAGCACUCAUCUCUUGAGAUAAUAUAGCAAGUGGUAGUAGCAAGAUAACUUGAGCAUUUAUUUCACAAGGGAAAAACACAUAUGUUUUUGGCUAUUCUCUCCCGAAUUAGGAGUAGAAUAUUUUUAGGUGAUUCUAGAGAUGGAAAUGGAUGGAUAUAUGUGGAUGGUACUUCCGGAGUAGAAGUAGCAUAUAUAUGAGUGAACGUGCAUGUGAAUCUUGAUUUAACCACAUGACAAGCUCCUAAGGGUCUACACAGCUUGACCACACUCAAUGCUUAUAAGCAGUAAAUAGUAAAUGUGUGGCUCAAAGUCUAGCAAGCAUGUAUAUAUGGCUGUGGUAGGAAUUUAAACUCUCAUCAUACAGGAACUCAUCAUGCAAUAUUUUAAAGAUUUUUCAAAGAUAAAAUUCUCCAGAAUUCUAGCAUCUCUAGGAACAGAUAAACAACAGCUCAACCUUCCCAUAUCAUAUUCGUUAACAACUUAGAUUUCAGAUCAAGUUUUCAUCCCACAAGUUUAGAUCUAGAGCAAGCUUUAAAUUAUAACAGUUAUGUCUAAACUUGAGAGAGAACUUCAAAUUUGCAAAUUAGGCAGAGCAACUAUUAUCAUAUCCAUGCUAGAGUUUUAUUAUUAAGAUUCAGAUUAGCAUAGCCACUUUAUUUGUUUAUUAAACACACUAAGCAAAAGAUAUAUAUAUAAGCACAAAAUCUUUAUUUGGUUUUUCAUAGUUUAUGUAUUUUAAUAUUCUAAUAUAAUAUAAGUAUAAAGAUAGGUAGAAAUACUUAGCGAGAUAAAUGGGGGUGCUCUCCCCCAAGCUGAAUUUUGACGUAAUUUCUCUUGAUGUAGCUAGCAGGUAGCAGAGGUGUAUUUAAAAGUCAGCAGCAUUCUAACAGCGAUUAGAAUGUCCUCCGUCUGCUAGUCUUCUUGAUUCUUAAAUUCUGUGGAGCUCAAAUAGACAACAAAGCUUGUGGAACUAAUUAAGUGUUAGCAUAAAUAUCUAGCCUUCAUCACGUUGAGCUUCCUCAAUAAAUAUUACUCCCUGUUUUUAUAUUUUUAUUUUAUAUAGUAGAAAAGAAAUAUUUAUUUUAUUUUUAUGCCACCACAGUGAAGGUAUUUAUGGGUUUUAUGCCACUCGUAAACUCACAUGGGGCUUAGUAUUUUAUUUUUUUUAACAUUUUUAUUUUCUUUUCAAGAUAGCAUGAUUAACUAAAAAUCUAUUUAAGAAAAGUAAAUAAUUAAAGGGAAAAAGGGAAUGCAGAAAGGAUAAAUAUGGAUAACUACCAAUCUUACCUUUCGGCGAGGGUUCAAUGUUUUAAGUCUUCUUGUCAAGACUUCUCAUCGUGUUCAUUCUUCAGGUGUGUCAUUUGAUUCAGGUGCGGACCUUGACGUCUGCACCUUUUAAUACGGUGUCACCUAUGUUCAUCGUUUGCCCAGCAGUUCGAAGUGCGGUGUUAGCAGUAUCUUGCUCAGUGUGUUUGUGCUCGUAGUGUACCUGCUCAUAGAGACAAGGCAGAGAUCAAGUGCAAGGGCCCUGUUGGUGGAAAACGACAACAGAACCAAAAGUGUAUUUGUUCUUCUCUAACCUUAAGCAUAGUGAGCAAGACAAAGUUGAUGGAUGAUAAGUUCAUGAGUGUAGAGCUUAGAACAUUUGUCAGACCGCUCAACCUUAUGGAAAGAUAAUCUAUCUAUGUAUAUGUCUUUUUCUUUAUAUCUCUCAAAGAUUGAAUGUGUAACAUUUUAGCUCAUCAUGGAGGUAGUACUAGGAACAAAGAUUAAAGGACUACACAUGCUGAAUCAGUUGGGUUGGUUAAUUUGGAGUUAUAAAUCAUACAUAUUUGUCUCUUUAUUUAUAUGAACGCCAGAACCAAGGAGAAGCUUAUAAAAGUGAUAGUCAAGUACCUUAAGAUGUUACCUUGCUCGAAGAGUGAUGGUACAGUAUCAUCUUGUGGAAGCUUUCCUUUCUUAGCGGUUGUGCGUCGUGUUUGUGGCACCCUCCAUGGAUCAUCUCUCUAUGAUGAAUGAGCUAUGUCCUUCUUGUGCAAAUUGUUAAACUUCAUGUGUCACUCUCUUCGUCUCUGAUGUGAGUUUAUCUCAGGACUUCCCAAAUCGAUAUUGAAAGUUUUUCUGCAGGGGUUAGUCCGACAAAAUAUACCAAUAUCUACUCAAGCAGUUUUUUUUAGUUCAAUAACCAAACUAGACUCC